UGCAAGUCGAACGAGAUCUUCGGGUCUAGUGGCGCACGGGUGCGUAACGCGUGGGAAUCUGCCCUUUGGUUCGGAAUAACAGUUGGAAACGACAGCUAAUACCGGAUGAUGACGAAAGUCCAAAGAUUUAUCGCCAGAGGAUGAGCCCGCGUAGGAUUAGCUAGUUGGUGUGGUAAAGGCGCACCAAGGCGACGAUCCUUAGCUGGUCUGAGAGGAUGAUCAGCCACACUGGGACUGAGACACGGCCCAGACUCCUACGGGAGGCAGCAGUGGGGAAUAUUGGACAAUGGGCGAAAGCCUGAUCCAGCAAUGCCGCGUGAGUGAUGAAGGCCUUAGGGUUGUAAAGCUCUUUUACCCGGGAUGAUAAUGACAGUACCGGGAGAAUAAGCUCCGGCUAACUCCGUGCCAGCAGCCGCGGUAAUACGGAGGGAGCUAGCGUUGUUCGGAAUUACUGGGCGUAAAGCGCACGUAGGCGGCUUUGUAAGUUAGAGGUGAAAGCCUGGAGCUCAACUCCAGAACUGCCUUUAAGACUGCAUCGCUUGAAUCCAGGAGAGGUGAGUGGAAUUCCGAGUGUAGAGGUGAAAUUCGUAGAUAUUCGGAAGAACACCAGUGGCGAAGGCGGCUCACUGG
This 630-nucleotide ribosomal RNA is filed under the name uncultured bacterium. RNAcentral's name for it is "bacterial SSU rRNA". It matches the Rfam family "Bacterial small subunit ribosomal RNA", at positions 56 to 732 of the family's 1533-position model. The record is from RNAcentral.